ACAAAAAAUAGAAAUGCUUUCAUUUCUCUAUAAUAGGUAUAGAGUUUAUUUUAGUACAGCAAAACUUCUUUAUGUGAUUUGGACGCAUUAAUUAAUAACAAAGGUACCCAAAUGAAAUUAUGUUUGUGCUUGAGGAUUGCUAUCAGACAUUAAACUUUGAAGGACGGGUCAUACAAAAUUGAAGUGAAGAAAUGGCAACGGCAGCACUAAAACAAAAUGUUCAACAGCCGAGAGACGGCAUGAUUUUUUAAUGCACUGGCAAAUAAUUUGUCCGUAAGGUGCCUUGCCUACUCUGACUGCCAGCAUACCUUUUUCUGUUUUGUUUUUUUUGGUGGGUGCCCCUUAUGGGUCAAGCGCUUUGGCGUGACCAAGCUCAAGAAAUCGGAAUUGACUUUUAUGUUGGUCAUAAAAAGGAUUUUAAUGUGUUUUAUGCGCGCCAACGCAAAGUCAACAGGCCGCAUGGCUGACCACGCACAUGCCAAGGCCAACGGAGAAUAUACUUGUAGUCGUAUAACUUGGCCUACACAUAAAUCCACGAAAAAUACCAAAGAAGCUGCCCAAAACGGAAUUACGCGACUCUGCGUGUGUGCUGGCGAUAUACCACUUGGGAUACGCGUCAACGUUCGCAAUUUGCUGGAGGACAUUCAUUUCGAGUACACACACAUGACAUGCCACAUGGAACGGCACAGCACGAGCUGCACAACGUUAUAGCACCCGGCUGUGCCACCUGGCGUAUGAGUGACGCAUGGCUCAACAUUUGUUAUGGCUUACAAUCUAUUCCAAGGCCUCCCACCAUCCCAUCCCUGGGAAUCGUCUCAAGUUGAAGCUUUUUUAUUACCUGUUUCCUGUUUGUGUUGCCUUGUCUCUCAGCCUGUCAAAAUUUAUGCUAUAAAAUUUCCCGUGUAAAACUAACGUCAAGUAUACGCCCGCGUGGCCGAGCCAAAAUUCUUGCUGUGAGCCUUCCCUGUUUUGGCCACGCUUGGCAUUGUUAGCUUUGCUCGCUUCAUUUUUCAAAAUGAUUUCUAUCGCCUUUGCUCCUUUUCAAAGUUUUUGGCAUUUUACAUAUGCUAACCAACGCUUCGCCCGCUGUGCUGUGGUCUCCUCUGUUUGUGUGUUGAACCUGCUCUGGUAUCGCUGCCGGCCUUUCUAACACUGCCAUGCUAAGGCACGCGCACAAAGGCAGCUUCCCACUCUCCAGAAAUUCCUGCUGUUAUCAUCGCACCCUCGCACGUAUUGACCGCACUAUCUCCUCUCUACAUCCCAAAUUAAUGAACCUGGUAUUUAAUCCCUGCUUAAAUGCCGAUUCAUUCAC
Long non-coding RNA from Drosophila albomicans, 1312 nucleotides. RefSeq lists it as uncharacterized. The record is from RefSeq and is a predicted model, not a curated record. NCBI's taxonomy places the organism in Eukaryota, Metazoa, Arthropoda, Insecta, Diptera, Drosophilidae. The transcript has 4 exons.